This 75-nucleotide transfer RNA is filed under the name Galdieria phlegrea. Its description in RNAcentral is "tRNA-Thr". It matches the Rfam family "tRNA". From Rfam's summary of the family: Transfer RNA (tRNA) molecules are approximately 80 nucleotides in length. Their secondary structure includes four short double-helical elements and three loops (D, anti-codon, and T loops). Lineage: Eukaryota; Rhodophyta; Bangiophyceae; Galdieriales; Galdieriaceae. The record is from RNAcentral.
AGCUGAUGUAGCUCAAUUGGUAGAGCAACUGAUUUGUAAUUAGUAGGUUAUGGGUUCAACUCCCUUCAUCAGCUU